RNAcentral lists this long non-coding RNA (1934 nucleotides) under Sus scrofa (pig). Its description in RNAcentral is "lncRNA (ENSSSCG00015075326.1)". Lineage: Eukaryota; Metazoa; Chordata; Mammalia; Artiodactyla; Suidae. The record is from RNAcentral.
UAUCAAGGAUCUUAAGAAAUAGAUUAAGAGACUCCCUCUGGAGAAGUGGAAUGGAAAAUAUGCCGAGACAAAUAGGACAUUUAUUCUAUACUUUAUCCAAUUUUGUAUGGCUUUCAUCUUUAGUAUUUAGUAUUAUCUAUUACAUUUAAAUUUUUCUUUAAAAAUUAGCAUUAUAUUAAAAUGGUAUAUAUUAUGCAACUAAAAUUUAUAAAGAAGAAAACCUUAUAUACCAUUAAAUAUUUUAUAUAGCAUAAGAAAAAGAAUAACUUAACUGGUAAGAAUAACAAAAAUAAUACACCCUCUGAAAAUAAGUAAAAUAUAAAAUGCAUAAAUUGGUUAAAAAACAGUGUAACUAUAUAAAUAUGUCCUCACAAUUUGUUACAUCUUAUUGAUUCUUCAAUAUAGGCAUUACACCAUUCUAGGUGAUGUGAUAAACAAGACAUUAUAGACCUUACAUUGUACCAUGGAGAGAAAUGGUUAUUAAUAAUACAAUUGUAGAACUGUAUUAUUUAAUUGUACAGUUGCAUUAUUUAAUUAUAAUUAUCAUAAAUUCUUUGAUGGAGAGGAAAUCAGAAUCAGAUCUAAGAAGACUUCAGCAUUCCAAGAAUGAUGUCAAAUGACCCCCUUCAUGGUGGAUUAUGCACUUAUUUACUAUGAGAUAUAUUUCUUCUCCAGAGAUUCCUUGUUUGUGUAUCAAUUGUAGAUUUUUGGUUUGCAGUUAUUCUGAAGUUUUGAUAUAAGAGUCUAUAUGUAUAUGAGAUUGUUUUAAGUUGUUGUUCUCUUAAUUGCAAGUUCAUCUCCAGUGUCCUGCAUUUGUACCCACCUCUUCUCAUGAUUUCUGAUUUUGGUGGUAUAAUUGUGCAUGGAUGAUUUCGUAUCUUUACUGUAUAUAUACCUUUACUGGUGAGCCUUGUCAUUUGUGGAAUUUUUGUUUCCUGUUGCUGUCUUUUCUUUUCUGCCUAGAGAAGUUCCUUUAGUAUUUGUUGUAAGGCUGGUUUAGUGUUGCUGAAUUCUCUCAGCUUUUGCUUAUCUGUGAAGGUUUUGAUUUCUCCUUCAAAUCUGAAUGAGAGCCUUGCUGGGUAGAGUAAUCUUGGUUGGAGGUUUUUUCCUUUCAUCACGUUAAGUAUAUCAUGCCACUCCCUUCUGGCCUGCAGAGUUUCUGCUGAAAAAUCUGCCGAUAACCUUAUUGGGGUUCCCUUGUAUGUUACUUGUUUCUUUUCCCUAGCUGCUUUCAAGAUUUUCUCUUUGUCUUUAAUUUUGGUCAGUUUGAUUAAUAUGUGUCUCGGUGUAUUCCUCCUUGGGUUUAUUUUAUAUGGUACUCGUUGUGCUUCCUGGAUUUGAGUGAGUGGUUCCUUUCCCAUGUUAGGGAAGUUUUCGGCUAUUAUCUCUUGGAAUAUUUUUUCUGUCCCCUUCUCUCUCUCUUCUCCUUCUGGCACCCCUAUAAUACGGAUGUUGGUGCGUUUAACGUUGUCCCAGAGUUUGACCCAGAUUCCUAUGGAGACUUUGCUUUGCCCUGGGACCCAGUGCACGUGAAAGUCUGUGUGCGCCUUUUAAGAAUGGGGUCUCCGUUUCCCCCAGUCCCGUGGAGCUCUUGCGCACAAGCCCCACUGGCCUUCAAUGCCAGAUGCUCCGGGGCUCUUUCUCCCUGUGCCAGAUCCCCACACGUGAGAGUUUGAUGUGUGGCUCAGAACUCUCACUCCUGUAGGUGAGUCUCUGUGAACCAGUUAGUUUCCAGUCUGUGGAGCUUCCCACCCAGGAGGUAUGGGGUUGUUUAUAUCGCGAAAUUGCCCCUCCUACCUCUUGAUGUGGCCUCCUCUUUUUCUUCUGGAGUAGGGUAUCUUUUUUAAGGUUUCCGGUCCAUUUGGGUGGGGAUUGCUCAGCUUUUAGUUGUGAAUUUUGUUGUUUUUAGGAGAGGAGUUGAGCUCCAGUCCUUC